Molecule: ribosomal RNA, 657 nt
Filed under: uncultured Actinomycetes bacterium
Lineage: Bacteria; Bacillati; Actinomycetota; Actinomycetes
Description: bacterial SSU rRNA
Rfam family: Bacterial small subunit ribosomal RNA
Source: RNAcentral
CGCGGCCUAUCAGCUUGUUGGUGGGGUAACGGCCUACCAAGGCGAUUACGGGUAGCCGGCCUGAGAGGGCGACCGGCCACACUGGGACUGAGACACGGCCCAGACUCCUGCGGGAGGCAGCAGUGGGGAAUAUUGCGCAAUGGGCGAAAGCCUGACGCAGCGACGCCGCGUGGGGGAUGACGGCCUUCGGGUUGUAAACCUCUUUUACCACCAACGCAGGCUCCCGGUUCUCCGGGGGUUGACGGUAGGUGGGGAAUAAGGACCGGCUAACUACGUGCCAGCAGCCGCGGUAAUACGUAGGGUCCGAGCGUUGUCCGGAAUUAUUGGGCGUAAAGAGCUCGUAGGCGGCGUGUCGCGUCUGCUGUGAAAGACCGGGGCUUAACCCCGGUUCUGCAGUGGAUACGGGCAUGCUAGAGGUAGGUAGGGGAGACUGGAAUUCCUGGUGUAGCGGUGAAAUGCGCAGAUAUCAGGAGGAACACCGGUGGCGAAGGCGGGUCUCUGGGCCUUACCUGACGCUGAGGAGCGAAAGCAUGGGGAGCGAACAGGAUUAGAUACCCUGGUAGUCCAUGCUGUAAACGGUGGGCGCUAGGUGUGGGGCCACGUUGGUUGGUUCUGUGCCGUAGCUAACGCAUUAAGCGCCCCGCCUGGGGAGUACGG